This 301-nucleotide ribosomal RNA is filed under the name uncultured bacterium. RNAcentral's name for it is "partial 16S ribosomal RNA". It matches the Rfam family "Bacterial small subunit ribosomal RNA", at positions 509 to 809 of the family's 1533-position model. The record is from RNAcentral.
CAGCAGCCGCGGGAAUACAGAGGAUGCAAGCGUUAUCCGGAAUGAUUGGGCGUAAAGCGUGCGCAGGCGGUUUCUUAAGUCUGAUGUGAAAGCCCCCGGCUCAACCGGGGAGGGUCAUUGGAAACUGGGAAACUUGAGUGCAGAAGAGGAGAGUGGAAUUCCACGUGUAGCGGUGAAAUGCGUAGAUAUGUGGAGGAACACCAGUGGCGAAGGCGACUCUCUGGUCUGUAACUGACGCUGAGGAGCGAAAGCGUGGGGAGCGAACAGGAUUAGAUACCCGAGUAGUCCCUGUCUCUUAUAA